Pelobates cultripes (western spadefoot toad) is the source of this 257-nucleotide non-coding RNA. NCBI's taxonomy places the organism in Eukaryota, Metazoa, Chordata, Amphibia, Anura, Pelobatidae. The record is from the annotation of a GenBank genome assembly.
AUGCACUUACAGACACUCACACAUGCACAGACAGACCCACAGACACACACACACUUACUGACACACACACAUACACUUACAGACAGACACAUACACUUACAGACACAGACACACACAUACACUUACAGACACAGACACACACAUACACUUACAGACACACACACAUACACUUACAGACACACACACAUACACUUACAGACACACACACAUACACUUACAGACACACACACAUACACUUACAGACACACACACAUACA